UUAUGAACUCCAAUCCGGCAAGAGUACCCGCUGAAUUUAAGCAUAUUAGUAAGCGGAGGAAAAGAAAAUAACAAUGAUUCCCCUAGUAACGGCGAGUGAAGCGGGAAAAGCUCAAGCUUAAAAUCUAUAGUUCUUUGAAGGGCUAUCGAGUUGUAGCUUUUGGAAGUAGUUUUAAUUUUUUUCUCUACUGGGUUUUUUAUAACCAAGCUGGGUAAAAGUUCCUUUGAAUAGGACAUCAAAGAGGGUGAAAAUCCCGUAUUUGGCCCCACCUAGUAGUUGUAAAACUUUAUAAGCUGUUUUCUAUGAGUCGGGUUGUUUGGGAAUGCAGCCCUAAUUGGGAGGUAAAUUUCUUCCAAAGCUAAAUAUCAGCAAGAGACCGAUAGCAUACAAGUACCGUGAGGGAAAGAUGAAAAGCACUUUGAAAAGAGAGUGAAAAGUACGUGAAAUUGUUAAAAGGGAACCAGUUAGUUCUGGCCAUUUUUUUCUUAUUAUUUCUCUCGGGAAAUAGUAGGAGGGUCAACAUCAGUUGCUUUUUUUUAGCUGCUAGAAAGGGAAUUUUCUGUAGACUAGUAAAGUCAGGUAGAAAUUAUCUUAAAGUUUCGGCUUUUUUAUAAUUUUGUUAUAGACUUUGUGGGUUUGCCUAUAUUUGCACCUAGUAGUGGCGGCGACUGAGGAAUUCAGUGUGUUUUUAACUUUUACGAGUUGAAUGGCUGGUUAUUGUUGCUAGUUUGUGGGCAAUUUUUAUCUUUUUAGACAACUUUUUGUUGACUAAGAGGAGUUGAUUGUUUUUCCUACUUUCUCGGUAAUAUAUCUUCAGACUAACAAACACUUUGGAUGUUGGCUAUAAUGGCACUAAUUGACCCGUCUUGAAACACGGACCAAGGAGUUCAACAUAUAUGCGAGUAGAUGGGGGUAUUUAAACCCAGAUGCGUAAUGAAAGUGAAACUAUAACAUUUAUGUUAUGGAUAUAGAAUGCUAACUUUUCUUCUCUCGGGGAGGAUUGUGCAGCAUCAACCGACCUUAGAUAGCGUUGCUUGAAGAGGUUGAGUAAGAGCAUAUAUGCUGAGACCCGAAAGAUGGUGAACUAUGCCUGAAUAGGGUGAAGUCAGAGGAAACUCUGAUGGAAGCUCGUAGCGAUUCUGACGUGCAAAUCGAUCGCGAAAUUUGGGUAUAGGGGC
Molecule: ribosomal RNA, 1178 nt
Filed under: Smittium morbosum
Lineage: Eukaryota; Fungi; Kickxellomycota; Harpellomycetes; Harpellales; Legeriomycetaceae
Description: eukaryotic LSU rRNA
Rfam family: Eukaryotic large subunit ribosomal RNA
Source: RNAcentral